This 400-nucleotide ribosomal RNA is filed under the name uncultured eukaryote. Its description in RNAcentral is "bacterial SSU rRNA". It matches the Rfam family "Eukaryotic small subunit ribosomal RNA", at positions 592 to 1016 of the family's 1831-position model. The record is from RNAcentral.
CAUUAGCGUAUAUUAAAGUUGUUGCAGUUAAAAGCCCGUAGUCGAGUUUGUGUCCUCGAUAGCUGAUCCACCUUCGGGUGCGAUUCAGUAUGUCGUUGGCGUUUUCCUAACUCUGACCUUGCGUCAGAAUUAGGUCGGUUACUUUGAGAAAAUUAGAGUGUUUCAAGCAGGCAUCCUGCCUUGAAUACUCCAGCAUGGAAUAACAAGAUAGGACUUUGGCUCUUCUUGUUGGUUUAAGAGUUAGAGUAAUGGUUAAGAGAGGCAGUUGGAGGCAUUCGUAUUUGGCAGUCAGAGGUGAAAUUCUUAGAUUUGCCAAAGACGAACUACUGCGAAAGCAUUUGCCAAGCAUGCUUUCAUUGAUCAAGGACUAAAGUUAGGGGAUCGAAGACGAUCAGAUACC